UUUGGCAUAAUUUCACAAACGGAGGAAAAGAAACCAACAGGGAUUGCCUCAGUAACGGCGAGUGAAGCGGCAAGAGCUCAACUUUGGAAUCGCUCCGGCGAGUUGUAGUCUGGAGGUGGCCACCACGAGGUGUUCUAGCAGCAGGCAAGUCCUUUGGAACAAGGCGCCAGCGAGGGUGACAGCCCCGUACCUGCUUUUGCUAGUGCUUCCUGUGGCCCACCGACGAGUCGAGUUGUUUGGGAAUGCAGCUCUAAGUGGGUGGUAAAUUCCAUCUAAGGCUAAAUAUUGGCGAGAGACCGAUAGCGAACAAGUACAGUGAUGGAAAGAUGAAAAGCACUUUGAAAAGAGAGUGAAACAGUACGUGAAAUUGUUGAAAGGGAAGGGCUUGCACCCAGACACGGUUUCGGCCGGGCCAGCAUCAAGUAGAACGGGGUUAAAAGACUUGGGGAAUGUAGCUACUUCGGUAGUGUUAUAGCCCUUGGUGAUGACCCCUGUUUUGCUUGAGGACAGCGGUCUCUAGGAUGCUG
Molecule: ribosomal RNA, 527 nt
Filed under: Candidozyma auris
Lineage: Eukaryota; Fungi; Ascomycota; Pichiomycetes; Serinales; Metschnikowiaceae
Description: [Candida] auris partial large subunit ribosomal RNA
Rfam family: Eukaryotic large subunit ribosomal RNA
Source: RNAcentral